GACGAACGCUGGCGGCGUGCUUAACACAUGCAAGUCGAACGGAAAGGCCUCUUUCGGGGGGUACUCGAGUGGCGAACGGGUGAGUAACACGUGAGUAACCUGCCCUUGACUUUGGGAUAACUUCAGGAAACUGGGGCUAAUACCGGAUAGGAGCUCCUGCUGCAUGGUGGGGGUUGGAAAGUUUCGGCGGUUGGGGAUGGACUCGCGGGUUAUCAGCUUGUUGGUGGGGUAGUGGCUUACCAAGGCUUUGACGGGUAGCCGGCCUGAGAGGGUGACCGGCCACAUUGGGACUGAGAUACGGCCCAGACUCCUACGGGAGGCAGCAGUGGGGAAUAUUGCACAAUGGGUGGAGGCCUGAUGCAGCAACGCCGUGUGCGGGAUGACGGCCUUCGGGUUGUAAACCGCUUUCGCUCAUGACGAAGCUUUGUGUGACGGUAGUGGGUAAAGAAGCACCGGCUAACUACGUG
RNAcentral lists this ribosomal RNA (467 nucleotides) under uncultured bacterium. RNAcentral's name for it is "partial 16S ribosomal RNA". It matches the Rfam family "Bacterial small subunit ribosomal RNA", at positions 28 to 507 of the family's 1533-position model. The record is from RNAcentral.